GAGUUUGAUCCUGGCUCAGGAUGAACGCUGGCGGCGUGCCUAACACAUGCAAGUCGAACGAAGCGUGCGGAUGGAAUUUCUUCGGAGAGGAAGCCUGCAUGACUGAGUGGCGGACGGGUGAGUAACGCGUGGGCAACCUGCCCUGCACAGGGGGACAACAGCCGGAAACGGCUGCUAAUACCGCAUAAGCGCACAGCUUCGCAUGGAGCGGUGUGAAAAGCUGCGGCGGUGCAGGAUGGGCCCGCGUCUGAUUAGCUGGUUGGCGGGGCAACGGCCCACCAAGGCGACGAUCAGUAGCCGGCCUGAGAGGGUGGACGGCCACAUUGGGACUGAGACACGGCCCAGACUCCUACGGGAGGCAGCAGUGGGGAAUAUUGCACAAUGGGGGAAACCCUGAUGCAGCGACGCCGCGUGAGCGAAGAAGUAUUUCGGUAUGUAAAGCUCUAUCAGCAGGGAAGAAAUUGACGGUACCUGAGUAAGAAGCUCCGGCUAAAUACGUGCCAGCAGCCGCGGUAAUACGUAUGGAGCAAGCGUUAUCCGGAUUUACUGGGUGUAAAGGGAGCGUAGGCGGCCUGCCAAGUCUGAUGUGAAAUACCGGGGCUCAACCCCGGGGCUGCAUUGGAAACUGGCAGGCUGGAGUGUCGGAGAGGCAGGCGGAAUUCCUAGUGUAGCGGUGAAAUGCGU
RNAcentral lists this ribosomal RNA (684 nucleotides) under uncultured bacterium. RNAcentral's name for it is "bacterial SSU rRNA". It matches the Rfam family "Bacterial small subunit ribosomal RNA", at positions 9 to 691 of the family's 1533-position model. The record is from RNAcentral.